UGAGUAAGCUAGAUGAUCGCAUCUAAAUUCUUAGAUGAGGAAAGUCCGAGCUCCAUAGGGCAGGAUGCUGGAUAACACCCAGUGGAGGCAACUCCAAGGAAAGUGCAACAGAAAGAUACCGCUUGGCACUCAAUAGCAAGUAUUUAGACUUUUUACGCCACUUUUAAGACUAAGCUUGGUCUUAGGGCCUAAGUAGUUCUGAUACAAAUUGAGUACCGAGUAAGGGUGGAAAGGUGAGGUAAGAGCUCACCAGCAUCUAGGCGACUAGAUUGGCUAUGUAAACCCCAUCUGGAGCAAGACCGAAUAGGGGACAAGAAGUGGCGGCCCGUCACGUCCCGGGUAAAGGUCGCUUGAGUUUACCGGCAACGGUAGACCUAGAUAGAUGAUCAUCCACGACAGAACUCGGCUUAUGGCUUGCUCAUAAU
RNAcentral lists this RNase P RNA (425 nucleotides) under Clostridiales bacterium. Its description in RNAcentral is "RNase P RNA component class A". It matches the Rfam family "Bacterial RNase P class A". Rfam says of the family: Ribonuclease P (RNase P) is a ubiquitous endoribonuclease, found in archaea, bacteria and eukarya as well as chloroplasts and mitochondria. Its best characterised activity is the generation of mature 5'-ends of tRNAs by cleaving the 5'-leader elements of precursor-tRNAs. Cellular RNase Ps are ribonucleoproteins. The record is from RNAcentral. Lineage: Bacteria; Bacillati; Bacillota; Clostridia; Eubacteriales.